Molecule: ribosomal RNA, 653 nt
Filed under: uncultured Methanosaeta sp.
Lineage: Archaea; Methanobacteriati; Methanobacteriota; Methanomicrobia; Methanotrichales; Methanotrichaceae
Description: bacterial SSU rRNA
Rfam family: Archaeal small subunit ribosomal RNA
Source: RNAcentral
UUCCGGUUGAUCCUGGCGGAGGUUACUGCUAUCGAGGUUCGACUAAGCCACGCGAGUCGAAUGUAGCAAUACAUGGCGUACUGCUCAGUAACACGUGGACAACCUACCCUUAGGUCGGGGAUAAACCCGGGAAACUGGGUAUAAUACCCGAUAGUCCUCGGAUGCUGGAAUGCACCGAGGUCUAAAGCUCCGGCGCCUAAGGAUGGGUCCGCGGCCUAUCAGGUAGUAGUGGGUGUAGCGUACCUACUAGCCUACGACGGGUACGGGUUGUGAGAGCAAGAGCCCGGAGAUGGAUUCUGAGACACGAAUCCAGGCCCUACGGGGUGCAGCAGGCGCGAAAACUUUACAAUGCCGGCAACGGCGAUAAGGGGACCUCGAGUGCCAGGUUACAAAUCUGGCUGUCGUGAUGCCUAAAAAGCAUUGCAUAGCAAGGGCCGGGCAAGACCGGUGCCAGCCGCCGCGGUAACACCGGCGGCUCGAGUGGUAACCGUUAUUAUUGGGUCUAAAGGGUCUGUAGCCGGCCGGAUAAGUCUCUUGGGAAAUCCAGCAGCUCAACUGUUGGGCUUUCAGGAGAUACUGUCUGGCUCGAGGCCGGGAGAGGUGAGAGGUACUUCAGGGGUAGGGGUGGAAUCUUGUAAUUCGAAGGACCACCA